RNAcentral lists this ribosomal RNA (365 nucleotides) under uncultured eukaryote. RNAcentral describes it as "partial 18S ribosomal RNA". It matches the Rfam family "Eukaryotic small subunit ribosomal RNA", at positions 592 to 975 of the family's 1831-position model. The record is from RNAcentral.
CAAUAGCGUAUAUUAACGUUGUUGCAGUUAAAAAGCUCGUAGUUGGAUUUCUGGAGGGAGCGUCGGCCCGUAUUUACGAGUGCGUGACGUCUCUGUCCAUCCUUGCGGGAAGGCACGGCAUUGAUUUGUUGUGUCGGAUCGCAUCAUUUACUGUGAAAAAAUUAGAGUGUUCAAAGCAGGCUUUCGCUUGAAUACAUUAGCAUGGAAUAAUAAGAUAGGACUUUGGUGCUGUUUUGUUGGUUGAGCCUAAAGUAAUGAUUAAUAGGGAUAGUUGGGGGCACCUGUAUUGCGUUGUCAGAGGUGAAAUUCUUGGAUUUACACAAGACAAACAGCUGCGAAAGCGUCUGCCAAGGAUGUUUNCAUUA